RNAcentral lists this ribosomal RNA (478 nucleotides) under uncultured bacterium. Its description in RNAcentral is "partial 16S ribosomal RNA". It matches the Rfam family "Bacterial small subunit ribosomal RNA", at positions 28 to 523 of the family's 1533-position model. The record is from RNAcentral.
GACGAACGCUGGCGGCGUGCUUAACACAUGCAAGUCGAACGGUAAGGCCCUUCGGGGUACACGAGUGGCGAACGGGUGAGUAACACGUGGGUGAUCUGCCCUGCACUUCGGGAUAAGCCUGGGAAACUGGGUCUAAUACCGGAUAGGACCACUGCCUGCAUGGGUGGGGGUGGAAAGCUUUUGCGGUGUGGGAUGGGCCCGCGGCCUAUCAGCUUGUUGGUUGGGUGAUGGCCUACCAAGGCGACGACGGGUAGCCGGCCUGGGAGGGUGACCGGCCACACUGGGACUGAGAUACGGCCCAGACUCCUACGGGAGGCAGCAGUGGGGAAUAUUGCACAAUGGGCGCAAGCCUGAUGCAGCGACGCCGCGUGAGGGAUGACGGCCUUCGGGUUGUAAACCUCUUUCAGCACCGACGAAGCGCAAGUGACGGUAGGUGCAGAAGAAGGACCGGCCAACUACGUGCCAGCCGCCGCGGUAA